This 1253-nucleotide ribosomal RNA is filed under the name metagenome. Its description in RNAcentral is "bacterial SSU rRNA". It matches the Rfam family "Bacterial small subunit ribosomal RNA", at positions 243 to 1520 of the family's 1533-position model. The record is from RNAcentral.
AGCUGGUUGGUGGGGUAACGGCCCACCAAGGCGACGAUCCAUAGCCGGCCUGAGAGGGUGAACGGCCACAUUGGGACUGAGACACGGCCCAGACUCCUACGGGAGGCAGCAGUGGGGAAUAUUGCACAAUGGGGGAAACCCUGAUGCAGCGAUGCCGCGUGGAGGAAGAAGGUUUUCGGAUUGUAAACUCCUGUCGUAAGGGAAGAGAAAGGACUGUACCUUACAAGAAAGCUCCGGCUAACUACGUGCCAGCAGCCGCGGUAAUACGUAGGGAGCGAGCGUUGUCCGGAAUGACUGGGUGUAAAGGGAGCGUAGGCGGGAUGGCAAGUCAGAUGUGAAACCUGAGGGCUCAACCUUCAGACUGCAUUUGAAACUGCUGUUCUUGAGUGAAGUAGAGGUAAGCGGAAUUCCUGGUGUAGCGGUGAAAUGCGUAGAGAUCAGGAGGAACAUCGGUGGCGAAGGCGGCUUACUGGGCUUUUACUGACGCUGAGGCUCGAAAGCGUGGGGAGCAAACAGGAUUAGAUACCCUGGUAGUCCACGCUGUAAACGAUGAUUACUAGGUGUGGGGGGAUUGACCCCUUCCGUGCCGCAGUUAACACAAUAAGUAAUCCACCUGGGGAGUACGACCGCAAGGUUGAAACUCAAAGGAAUUGACGGGGGCCCGCACAAGCAGUGGAGUAUGUGGUUUAAUUCGAAGCAACGCGAAGAACCUUACCAGGUCUUGACAUCGAGUGACGUAUCCAGAGAUGGAUAUUUCCUUCGGGACACAAAGACAGGUGGUGCAUGGUUGUCGUCAGCUCGCGUCGUGAGAUGUUGGGUUAAGUCCCGCAACGAGCGCAACCCUUAUCAUUAGUUGCUACGCAAGAGCACUCUAAUGAGACUGCCGUUGACAAAACGGAGGAAGGUGGGGAUGACGUCAAAUCAUCAUGCCCCUUAUGACCUGGGCUACACACGUACUACAAUGGCGAUCGAACAGAGGGAAGCAAGACAGCGAUGUGGAGCCAAUCCCAAAAAAUCGCCCCAGUUCAGAUUGCAGGCUGCAACUCGCCUGCAUGAAGUCGGAAUUGCUAGUAAUCGCAGAUCAGCAUGCUGCGGCGAAUACGUUCCCGGGCCUUGUACACACCGCCCGUCACACCAUGGGAGUCGGUAACACCCAAAGCCGGUCGUCUAACCUUCGGGAGGACGCCGUCUAAGGUGGGAUUGAUGACUGGGGUGAAGUCGUAACAAGGUAGCCGUAUCGGAAGGUGCGGCUG